Sinocyclocheilus anshuiensis is the source of this 786-nucleotide long non-coding RNA. RefSeq lists it as uncharacterized. The record is from RefSeq and is a predicted model, not a curated record. NCBI's taxonomy places the organism in Eukaryota, Metazoa, Chordata, Actinopteri, Cypriniformes, Cyprinidae. The transcript is spliced from 4 exons.
UGUCGUAUUGUCUAAUGGGAAAUGACACUUUGUAGACUUGCUGCAAGCUGUUUGUUGCUCCUUCAGUGUGCUUCAUCUGAUGAAGUUUGGUAUGAAAACGAUAUCACUUCAGCUCAAGGUAUAUUAUGCUUCGUUUCAUUGUCUUGAACUAUCCGCAAGACAUCUUUUCAAGACGGCUGGACAUGGGACAUCUGAAACUUUGCAGGGGGGGCUCACGACUCCAGACACUUGAGGGAGGGAAGGAGGUGUUCCUUUUGGGUUGACACGACCGGACAUAACAGUGAGAGAGCUUAUUGAGAGCGAUGGGCAACCCUAAAAGGGCAAGUGACAGCAACACGAUACCACUCUUAAAUAAGCAUGCAGUCUAUCACACGCAAAGUUCAUGCAUUUAGCAUGCAUCUCCCAUAAUUUCUUGCAAGUGGCGAUACAUUUGUACAGAUGUCACCCAUUUGUUCUUGUCAUCCUCUAUUUGGCGAAGAGGGUUUUAGAUUAGUGUGGUAUUAAGUAACUAUGUAUUCCCACUCUCAAGCCAAACCACUCUCCUCUGAGAUGCUGCAGGACGUGUCCAUGUAUAGCUAACAGCACAGCUCUGUUAGGCCGAAAACAAAUAGUCCGCCGUCAUGUGGUAUUAUCGCUGUGGCUACUGCAUUUAUAGCUCCUAAGGCUCUCACAGCUGGCUGCACAGUGCUAUUACUAUCCCACGUAACAUUUAAAAAAAGCUAUAUUUCUGUAUCUAUCUUUUCCAAUCACAUGACAAAGGCUCAUGCUGUAAAUAAAGAGAGCUCA